This 253-nucleotide ribosomal RNA is filed under the name uncultured bacterium. RNAcentral's name for it is "partial 16S ribosomal RNA". It matches the Rfam family "Bacterial small subunit ribosomal RNA", at positions 524 to 776 of the family's 1533-position model. The record is from RNAcentral.
UACGUAGGUGGCAAGCGAUACUCGGAAUCACUAGGCGUAAAGCGCAGGUAGGCGGUUUGGUAAGUCUUUUGUGAAAGCUCCUGGCUCAACUGGGAGAGGUCAAAGGAAACUACCAGGCUAGAGUGUGGUAGGGGAUACUGGAAUUCCUGGUGUAGCGGUGAAAUGCGUAGAUAUCAGGAGGAAUACCUAUGGCGAAAGCAGGUAUCUGGGCCAUCACUGACGCUGAGCUGCGAAAGCUAGGGGAGCAAACAGG